CUAUUCUCUUCUCUGCACAACAAGAAAUUCUGGGUUAUUUUCCAAAAAGGCGCAACAUUCGCCAAAACACAAGCAAAGCACAAGAACCCAUAACAAAUGCUCUCUCUGACCCCAAAGCCCAAAGCUUUACUUGUUUCUUCACUUCAUCACUGCCUUCUCCAGUUUUCUCUACCUUUUUCUCACUCAUAGUUACCACACACAGAGCCAACUACUGUAAUAAUAUCAACAAUUUAUGGAGUUAGAGUGAAUAUAACUGCCCAACAAGACAAGCUAAGUACUAGAGAGAGAAAAAAAGAAUACAGAGUAGUGGGUUUUGGUUGGUGAAACUUGAUAUGGCCUUCGCUUCUAUCUUUUGUUGUGGAAAGCGUUUGGAUCGGAAAGAGCGAGGAAAGAAACAGCCAACAUGGCGGAUCUUCUCCUUGAAGGAACUACAUGCAGCUACAAACAACUUCAAUUAUGAUAACAAGCUGGGAGAAGGAGGAUUUGGCAGUGUUUACUGGGGUCAGCUUUGGGAUGGAUCACAAAUUGCUGUUAAAAGGUUGAAGGCCUGGAGCAACAAAGCAGAUAUGGAAUUUGCUGUUGAAGUUGAGAUACUAGCACGUGUUCGACACAAGAAUCUGCUUAGCCUACGUGGUUAUUGUGCUGAAGGACAAGAGCGUCUCAUUGUAUAUGACUAUAUGCCUAAUUUGAGCUUGCUUUCUCAUCUUCAUGGGCAGCACUCAGCAGAGUGUCAUCUUGACUGGAAGAGGCGGAUGAAUAUUGCCAUGGGUUCUGCAGAGGGUAUCGCCUACCUUCACCACCAUGCAACCCCACAUAUCAUCCACAGAGACAUCAAAGCUAGCAAUGUGUUGCUAGAUUCAGAUUUCCAGGCACAGGUUGCUGAUUUUGGAUUCGCAAAGCUAAUCCCUGAUGGGGCAACCCAUGUAACCACAAGAGUUAAAGGUACGCUUGGCUACCUUGCCCCUGAAUAUGCUAUGCUGGGGAAGGCAUCAGAGAGCUGUGAUGUGUAUAGCUUUGGCAUUCUCUUGCUAGAGCUUGCCAGUGGCAAGAAACCCCUUGAGAAAACGAGCGGAACCGUGAAACGUACAAUUACUGAUUGGGCUCUGCCAUUGGCAUGUGAAAGGAAGUUCAGUGAGCUGGCAGAUCCAAAGCUAAAUGGUAAGUUUGAGGAAGAAGAGUUGAAAAGAGUUGUUCUUGUUGCUCUCAAGUGUCCCGACAAUCGGCCUGAGACAAGACCCACAAUGCUUGACGUUGUAGAACUACUGAAAGGGGAAUCAAAGGAGAAGUUGGAUGAAUUAGAAAAGGAUGAAUUGUUUACAGCACCCCAGCCUGCUGAUUAUAAUGAUGGAGUAUCAGUUGCUGAAGACAGCUCAGACUUCAUAUCAGAGGAGAGGGAUCCGAGACAAGAAUUGAAGGAAAUUGGGCAAUAGAACACUCCUAAUAGCUUUGAUUUGCGUUUUCUACUAUGUAAAAUUUGGUUUGGUGUACUGGGUUUUUACUUGGAACACUAAGUGGCGCUAGCAACCCAUUUGUUAUAGUUGUCAGGAAAUGAUGGCUGCUGACUGUUGUGAAAGCAUGUUAAUGGCAAUCACGCUUG
Molecule: unclassified non-coding RNA, 1597 nt
Filed under: Hevea brasiliensis (rubber tree)
Lineage: Eukaryota; Viridiplantae; Streptophyta; Magnoliopsida; Malpighiales; Euphorbiaceae
Source: RNAcentral